Molecule: ribosomal RNA, 253 nt
Filed under: uncultured Legionella sp.
Lineage: Bacteria; Pseudomonadati; Pseudomonadota; Gammaproteobacteria; Legionellales; Legionellaceae
Description: partial 16S ribosomal RNA
Rfam family: Bacterial small subunit ribosomal RNA
Source: RNAcentral
UACGGAGGGUGCGAGCGUUAAUCGGAAUUACUGGGCGUAAAGGGUGCGUAGGUUGUAUUAUAAGUUAUCUGUGAAAUCCCUGGGCUCAACCUGGGCAGGUCAGAUAAUACUGUAGUACUCGAGUAUGGGAGAGGGUAGUGGAAUUUCCGGUGUAGCGGUGAAAUGCGUAGAGAUCGGAAGGAACACCAGUGGCGAAGGCGGCUACCUGGCCUAAUACUGACACUGAGGCACGAAAGCGUGGGGAGCAAACAGG